This 203-nucleotide long non-coding RNA is filed under the name Elaeis guineensis (African oil palm). RNAcentral's name for it is "long non-coding RNA (EGUI_LNC056394)". Lineage: Eukaryota; Viridiplantae; Streptophyta; Magnoliopsida; Arecales; Arecaceae. The record is from RNAcentral.
GGGGCAUUCUUCGCACCAAUCUUCGCCAACCCCGCUGGCUCCCCGCCUCCUCCAGUCCUUCGAGCCCUUUCGAGGGGAUCUUCCGUCGGGGCCUCUGCCCCGGAGGCCAAUCCUAAGAGGAUGCUGUGGAUCGAGAGGAGUAGGAGGGGGAAGGCAGCGGUCUGCAAGUUCAGCAGCCGCCGAACCGUCACUAAGGAUUCCCA